GUGAGGAAUAUUGGACAAUGGUCGGAAGACUGAUCCAGCCAUGCCGCGUGCAGGAAGACGGCCUUAUGGGUUGUAAACUGCUUUUGCAGGGGAAGAAUAAGGACUACGAGUAGUUUGAUGACGGUACUCUGCGAAUAAGCAUCGGCUAACUCCGUGCCAGCAGCCGCGGUAAUACGGAGGAUGCGAGCGUUAUCCGGAAUCAUUGGGUUUAAAGGGUCCGUAGGCGGGCUAAUAAGUCAGAGGUGAAAGCGCUCAGCUCAACUGAGCAACUGCCUUUGAAACUGUUAGUCUUGAAUGGUUGUGAAGUAGUUGGAAUGUGUAGUGUAGCGGUGAAAUGCUUAGAUAUUACACAGAACACCGAUAGCGAAGGCAUAUUACUAACAAUUAAUUGACGCUGAUGGACGAAAGCGUGGGGAGCGAACAGG
This 425-nucleotide ribosomal RNA is filed under the name uncultured bacterium. Its description in RNAcentral is "bacterial SSU rRNA". It matches the Rfam family "Bacterial small subunit ribosomal RNA", at positions 354 to 776 of the family's 1533-position model. The record is from RNAcentral.